AUUCUAAGAAGGACUGUUUUAUGUAAAUACCAUGUGGCCGUUUUCUUUUGAUUAAUAAGUUCAUGUUAACCUUGUGAACCAAUGACUAAACAGCACUUGUAUAAAAGCAAAGCUGAUGAGAUUUUAUUCGAAACGGUGUGAGUUUGUUGAUUCUCAAAAAUGUCAUUACUUCUACGGUUGACGCUUCUAUUUGUUAUUUGUUCUGUUAUCAUGGAAAACGCAAACGGGGCAUGUUGUCGUCGUAAACGCGGAGGACGUUGCGGCGACUGCACUAAACCAACACCUUGCUGUGGAUAUAAAAGAUGUAACAUAUUUUGUUGUGGAUGCAAUUGUCGUAAGGGGGGAUGCGGCGGCAGACGAAAACGUCAAUUGUCACAUGAUACUACCGAUAGGUCUACAUAUAUGACGUUUAUUGGCCUAGAUAUCAACAAAAAUGGGAUGAUGGAACAGUUUGAGUUCAGCAAAGCCUUAGAACAGAUGCACAUAACGGACAACACGACCGUGUUUCACCAUUGGUCAAUCAUGGACGAAGAUAAAGAUGGACUUAUCACUAUAGAAGAAUUUGAUCGAGAAAAAUUAUAGAUGGCCCAGAACAUAUUUCUUUUUGUAACUAAAAGUGAAGACUGAACAGUAAAAAUACGUUCAAUUUGAAAUUAAAUUAAACAGAUAUCGCAUAA
Molecule: long non-coding RNA, 677 nt
Organism: Mytilus trossulus (common blue mussel)
Lineage: Eukaryota; Metazoa; Mollusca; Bivalvia; Mytilida; Mytilidae
Exons: 3
Source: RefSeq, a predicted model, not a curated record